This 245-nucleotide ribosomal RNA is filed under the name uncultured bacterium. RNAcentral describes it as "partial 16S ribosomal RNA". It matches the Rfam family "Bacterial small subunit ribosomal RNA", at positions 524 to 768 of the family's 1533-position model. The record is from RNAcentral.
UACAUAGGGUGCAAGCGUUAUUCGGAUUUACUGGGCGUAAAGGGCGCGUAGGCGGUUCGAUAAGUCUGAUGUGAAAGCCCUGGACUCAAUUCAGGAAGUGCAUCGGAUACUGUCAGACUAGAGUAUGGGAGAGGAGGAUGGAAUUCCUGGUGUAGAGGUGAAAUUCGUAGAUAUCAGGAGGAACAACAGUGGCGAAGGCGAUUCUCUGGACCAUAACUGACGCUGAGGCGCGAAAGCGUGGGGAG